Molecule: ribosomal RNA, 253 nt
Filed under: uncultured bacterium
Lineage: Bacteria
Description: partial 16S ribosomal RNA
Rfam family: Bacterial small subunit ribosomal RNA
Source: RNAcentral
UACGUAGGGUGCAAGCGUUAAUCGGAAUUACUGGGCGUAAAGGGUGCGUAGGCGGUUGCUUAAGUCUGUUGUGAAAUCCCCGGGCUCAACCUGGGAAUGGCAAUGGAUACUGGGCAGCUAGAGUGUGUCAGAGGAUGGUGGAAUUCCCAGUGUAGAGGUGAAAUUCGUAGAUAUUGGGAAGAACACCGGUGGCGAAGGCGGCUCACUGGCCCGAAACUGACGCUCAUGCACGACAGCGUGGGGAUCAAACAGG